Molecule: long non-coding RNA, 409 nt
Organism: Gorilla gorilla gorilla (western lowland gorilla)
Lineage: Eukaryota; Metazoa; Chordata; Mammalia; Primates; Hominidae
Exons: 4
Source: RefSeq, a predicted model, not a curated record
CUGGGUAGUGGUUCCAUGUCUGGAGUUGAAGAAAGAGCUAGUUUCCUCAGAAUCACAUAGUUCCCCACAUAAACUGAGAACUCGCAGAAAGAGAGAAGAGAAGAAUGUAAACUCAGGAGGAACCAAGAAGAAUUCAUUACAUUAUGAAACCUGGCCAACCAAGAGGAAACCUUGGUGGAGAGUCCAGCAUAGGCCCAGAAUCUUGCAAUCCACAUCCAGUUCCAGAAACUGAAUUCCAAGAAGCUACACUGAGGAUAAUUCAGCUCUGAUGUUGUGAUUACUGUGAUGUUCUUUCAUUCAUACACUGAGCCACUGCCUCUGAUUUCAAGAACCUGAAGACGCCCUCAGAUCGGUCUUCCCAUUUUAUUAAUCCUGGGUUCUUGUCUGGGUUCAAGAGGAUGUCGCGGAU